This is a long non-coding RNA of Ictalurus punctatus (channel catfish), 472 nucleotides long. RefSeq lists it as uncharacterized. Lineage: Eukaryota; Metazoa; Chordata; Actinopteri; Siluriformes; Ictaluridae. The record is from RefSeq and is a predicted model, not a curated record. The transcript has 3 exons.
UUGACCUUUGGCCCAGCAUUCACUUAAAACUUUACUCAGCAUAUCUCUCAGCUCAUGAUGAUCAAAGCAUUUAAAUACAAUUGGUUUAAUUGUAGUGCAUUAUACCAACUUAUCCACCAAUUUGACACCAUUUUAAUGGCAAAAACAAUUGAGUUUAAAUACUAUUAUGGUUCAGCAUUACGAGGCUCACUGGUGAAUUCUGUUGGACAAAUGCUGUGUGGACAGAUGCAGCAGUUUCAUGAGGAGAUCUGCACCAGGGCCAUAACUGCUCUCUGGAUCAGAUUCAUCAUCAGCUAGACAUGACAGAUCAGUGCUGCAGCUCUCUGUAAAAGAAAAUCAGACACCUGGAGCAGCACAGCGUCCCCCCUCAGAUCCACAUGCACUCCCUCCAUUCUCACAUGGACUGGGAAUGUAGUUCUCCUCCAUGCAGCUUGCUGCUUCAGGAGAGCCCACAGAGCAGCCUAAACCUGCU